GACGAACGCUGGCGGCGUGCUUAACACAUGCAAGUCGAACGGAAAGGCCCCCUUGUGGGGUACUCGAGUGGCGAACGGGUGAGUAACACGUGAGUAACCUACCCUUGACUUUGGGAUAACUUCAGGAAACUGGGGCUAAUACCGGAUAGGAGCUCCUGCUGCAUGGUGGGGGUUGGAAAGUUUCGGCGGUUGGGGAUGGACUCGCGGCUUAUCAGCUUGUUGGUGGGGUAGUGGCUCACCAAGGCUUUGACGGGUAGCCGGCCUGAGAGGGUGACCGGCCACAUUGGGACUGAGAUACGGCCCAGACGCCUACGGGAGGCAGCAGUGGGGAAUAUUGCACAAUGGGCGGAGGCCUGAUGCAGCAACGCCGCGUGCGGGAUGACGGCCUUCGGGUUGUAAACCGCUUUCGCCUGUGACGAAGCGUGAGGGACGGUAAUGGGUAAAGAAGCACCGGCUAACUACGU
This 464-nucleotide ribosomal RNA is filed under the name uncultured bacterium. Its description in RNAcentral is "partial 16S ribosomal RNA". It matches the Rfam family "Bacterial small subunit ribosomal RNA", at positions 28 to 506 of the family's 1533-position model. The record is from RNAcentral.